AUACGUAGGGGGCAAGCGUUGUCCGGAUUUACUGGGUGUAAAGGGUGCUCAGGCGGGUUUGUAAGUCAGAGGUGAAACUCCGGAGCUUAACUCCGGAACUGCCUUUGAUACUGCAUCCCUAGAGUUUGAGAGAGGCGAGUGGAAUAUCUGGUGUAGCAGUGAAAUGCGUAGAUAUCAGAUAGAACACCAAUGGCGAAGGCAGCUCGCUGGCUCAAUACUGACGCUAAAGCACGAAAGUGUGGGUAGCAAACAGGAUUAGAUACCCUGGUAGUCCACACCCUAAACGAUGAAUACUAGAUGUUGGCCCUUUCGGGGGUCAGUAUCACAGCUAACGCAUUAAGUAUUCCACCUGGGAAGUACGAUCGCAAGGUUGAA
RNAcentral lists this ribosomal RNA (375 nucleotides) under uncultured bacterium. RNAcentral describes it as "bacterial SSU rRNA". It matches the Rfam family "Bacterial small subunit ribosomal RNA", at positions 523 to 898 of the family's 1533-position model. The record is from RNAcentral.